CACUGUUGAUCUACAUUGCUUCAUUAUCAUCGUCAAAAAAAACAUAUUUAGACAGGAACCCCCCGUAACUGGAAAGCCUUACUUUGUUUCAUUUCCAAAAAGAAGCGAUCUCAACUGUAACAGAGGGACUAUUUGUAGAUUUCCAGUGUAUGCCUCCACAGACGAAUCACUUGGAAUCACUACUAUAAAAAGCACAUCAGAAAGUAUAGAAAACGUCACAAUACAAUACAGUAAUGAAUUGAUCGAUGGAAAAAUUACCGCCAAGGUGGCACAAGUACAAUUUUUGGCUCAGGA
Molecule: long non-coding RNA, 294 nt
Organism: Saccostrea cuccullata (small rock oyster)
Lineage: Eukaryota; Metazoa; Mollusca; Bivalvia; Ostreida; Ostreidae
Exons: 4
Source: RefSeq, a predicted model, not a curated record